GCUCUUCCUGCAGAGAGACAUCACUUUCUGGGCAUCAGCAUCGUGGGGCAGAGCAACGACCGUGGAGACGGCGGCAUCUACAUCGGCUCCAUCAUGAAGGGCGGGGCUGUGGCCGCUGACGGCCGCAUCGAGCCAGGCGACAUGUUGCUGCAGGUGAAUGACGUGAACUUUGAGAACAUGAGCAAUGAUGAUGCCGUGCGGGUGCUGCGGGAGAUCGUAUCCCAGACGGGGCCCAUCAGCCUCACUGUGGCCAAGUGCUGGGACCCAACGCCCCGAAGCUACUUCACUGUCCCACGGGGUGAGUGGCCCUCGGGGCACACGGGGCGGGAUGGGGAGGGGGCGCCUACCCAGCCUGAAAGUCUCUCUCCUCUGUGCCCUGCACCCUGCCCUCCCACCCUGUCCAUCUGUCCGCCUGUCAUCGCCACGUGGCGGCCACCCAGCUGACCCGGUGCGGCCCAUCGACCCCGCCGCCUGGCUGUCCCACACGGCGGCACUGACAGGAGCCCUGCCCCGCUACGGUACGAGCCCCUGCUCCAGCGCCGUCACGCGCACCAGCUCCUCCUCACUAACCAGCUCCGUGCCUGGUGCUCCACAGCUGGAAGAGGCGCCGCUGACGGUGAAGAGUGACAUGAGCGCCGUCGUCCGGGUCAUGCAGCUUCCAGACUCGGGACUGGAGAUCCGCGACCGCAUGUGGCUCAAGAUCACCAUCGCCAAUGCCGUCAUCGGGGCGGACGUGGUGGACUGGCUGUACGCACACGUGGAGGGCUUCAAGGAGCGACGGGAGGCCCGGAAGUACGCCAGCAGCUUGCUGAAGCACGGCUUCCUGCG
Molecule: small RNA, 828 nt
Filed under: Pongo abelii (Sumatran orangutan)
Lineage: Eukaryota; Metazoa; Chordata; Mammalia; Primates; Hominidae
Description: retained intron
Source: RNAcentral